GCGGGAGUGGCGGAAUUGGCAGACGCGCCAGACUUAGGAUCUGGUGUCUUCGGACGUGGGGGUUCAAGUCCCCCCUCCCGCA
This 82-nucleotide transfer RNA is filed under the name Sporichthya sp. RNAcentral describes it as "tRNA-Leu". It matches the Rfam family "tRNA". From Rfam's summary of the family: Transfer RNA (tRNA) molecules are approximately 80 nucleotides in length. The record is from RNAcentral. Lineage: Bacteria; Bacillati; Actinomycetota; Actinomycetes; Sporichthyales; Sporichthyaceae. RNAcentral also lists the same sequence under 3 other names.